CGAUAGCGUAUAUUAAAGUUGUUGCAGUUAAAAAGCUCGUAGUUGGAUUUCUGGUUGAAGCGACCGGUCGGGCGUUGAUUCGUCUGCACUGGAGUCGGUUUUGGCCAUCCUCUAGGAAAGUGCGUCUGGUAUUAAGUUAUCGGGCGUAUGAUCCUGGUCUUUUACUGUGAAAAAAUUAGAGUGUUUAAAGCAGGCCUUCGCCUUGAAUACAUUAGCAUGGAAUAAUAAGAUAGGACUUUGGUCUAUUUUGUUGGUUUGCAGACCGAAGUAAUGAUUAAUAGGGAUAGUUGGGGGUAUUUAUAUUCCGAUGUCAGAGGUGAAAUUCUUAGAUUUUCGGAAGAUAAACUUAUGCGAAAGCAUUUACCAAGGAUGUUUUCAUUAA
Molecule: ribosomal RNA, 382 nt
Filed under: uncultured eukaryote
Lineage: Eukaryota
Description: partial 18S ribosomal RNA
Rfam family: Eukaryotic small subunit ribosomal RNA
Source: RNAcentral